GGGUUGUGAGGUUAAGCGACUAAGCGUACACGGUGGAUGCCCUGGCAGUCAGAGGCGAUGAAGGACGUGCUAAUCUGCGAAAAGCGUCGGUAAGGUGAUAUGAACCGUUAUAACCGGCGAUGUCCGAAUGGGGAAACCCAGUGUGAUUCGUCACACUAUCGUUAACUGAAUACAUAGGUUAACGAGGCGAACCGGGGGAACUGAAACAUCUAAGUACCCCGAGGAAAAGAAAUCAACCGAGAUUCCCCCAGUAGCGGCGAGCGAACGGGGAGCAGCCCAGAGUCUGAAUCAGCUUGUGUGUUAGUGGAACGGUCUGGAAAGUCCGACGGUACAGGGUGAUAGUCCCGUACACCAAAAUGCACAGGCUGUGAACUCGAAGAGUAGGGCGGGACACGUGGUAUCCUGUCUGAAUAUGGGGGGACCAUCCUCCAAGGCUAAAUACUCCUGACUGACCGAUAGUGAACCAGUACCGUGAGGGAAAGGCGAAAAGAACCCCGGCGAGGGGAGUGAAAAAGAACCUGAAACCGUGUACGUACAAGCAGUGGGAGCACCUUCGGGUGUGACUGCGUACCUUUUGUAUAAUGGGUCAGCGACUUAUAUUCUGUAGCAAGGUUAACCGUAUAGGGGAGCCGCAGGGAAACCGAGUCUUAACUGGGCGUUAAGUUGCAGGGUAUAGACCCGAAACCCGGUGAUCUAGCCAUGGGCAGGUUGAAGGUUGGGUAACACUAACUGGAGGACCGAACCGACUAAUGUUGAAAAAUUAGCGGAUGACUUGUGGCUGGGGGUGAAAGGCCAAUCAAACCGGGAGAUAGCUGGUUCUCCCCGAAAGCUAUUUAGGUAGCGCCUCGUGAACUCAUCUUCGGGGUAGAGCACUGUUUCGGCUAGGGGUCAUCCCGACUUACCAACCCGAUGCAAACUACGAAUACCGAAGAAUGUUAUCACGGGAGACACACGGCGGGUGCUAACGUCCGUCGUGAAGAGGGAAACAACCCAGACCGCCAGCUAAGGUCCCAAAGUCAUGGUUAAGUGGGAAACGAUGUGGGAAGGCACAGACAGCCAGGAUGUUGGCUUAGAAGCAGCCAUCAUUUAAAGAAAGCGUAAUAGCUCACUGGUCGAGUCGGCCUGCGCGGAAGAUGUAACGGGGCUAAACCAUGCACCGAAGCUGCGGCAGCGACACUAUGUGUUGUUGGGUAGGGGAGCGUUCUGUAAGCCUGCGAAGGUGACCUGUGAGGGUUGCUGGAGGUAUCAGAAGUGCGAAUGCUGACAUAAGUAACGAUAAAGCGGGUGAAAAGCCCGCUCGCCGGAAGACCAAGGGUUCCUGUCCAACGUUAAUCGGGGCAGGGUGAGUCGACCCCUAAGGCGAGGCCGAAAGGCGUAGUCGAUGGGAAACAGGUUAAUAUUCCUGUACUUGGUGUUACUGCGAAGGGGGGACGGAGAAGGCUAUGUUAGCCGGGCGACGGUUGUCCCGGUUUAAGCAUGUAGGCUGGUUAUCCAGGCAAAUCCGGAUAAUCAAGGCUGAGGUGUGAUGACGAGGCACUACGGUGCUGAAGUAACAAAUGCCCUGCUUCCAGGAAAAGCCUCUAAGCAUCAGGUAACAUCAAAUCGUACCCCAAACCGACACAGGUGGUCAGGUAGAGAAUACCAAGGCGCUUGAGAGAACUCGGGUGAAGGAACUAGGCAAAAUGGUGCCGUAACUUCGGGAGAAGGCACGCUGGUGUGUAGGUGAAGCCCCUGCGGGUGGAGCUGAGACCAGUCGAAGAUACCAGCUGGCUGCAACUGUUUAUUAAAAACACAGCACUGUGCAAACACGAAAGUGGACGUAUACGGUGUGACGCCUGCCCGGUGCCGGAAGGUUAAUUGAUGGGGUUAUCCGUAAGGAGAAGCUCUUGAUCGAAGCCCCGGUAAACGGCGGCCGUAACUAUAACGGUCCUAAGGUAGCGAAAUUCCUUGUCGGGUAAGUUCCGACCUGCACGAAUGGCGUAAUGAUGGCCAGGCUGUCUCCACCCGAGACUCAGUGAAAUUGAACUCGCUGUGAAGAUGCAGUGUACCCGCGGCAAGACGGAAAGACCCCGUGAACCUUUACUAUAGCUUGACACUGAACAUUGAGCCUUGAUGUGUAGGAUAGGUGGGAGGCUUUGAAGCGUGGACGCCAGUCUGCGUGGAGCCAACCUUGAAAUACCACCCUUUAAUGUUUGAUGUUCUAACGUUGGCCCCUUACCGGGGUUGCGGACAGUGUCUGGUGGGUAGUUUGACUGGGGCGGUCUCCUCCCAAAGCGUAACGGAGGAGCACGAAGGUUAGCUAAUCCUGGUCGGACAUCAGGAGGUUAGUGCAAUGGCAUAAGCUAGCUUGACUGCGAGCGUGACGGCGCGAGCAGGUGCGAAAGCAGGUCAUAGUGAUCCGGUGGUUCUGAAUGGAAGGGCCAUCGCUCAACGGAUAAAAGGUACUCCGGGGAUAACAGGCUGAUACCGCCCAAGAGUUCAUAUCGACGGCGGUGUUUGGCACCUCGAUGUCGGCUCAUCACAUCCUGGGGCUGAAGUAGGUCCCAAGGGUAUGGCUGUUCGCCAUUUAAAGUGGUACGCGAGCUGGGUUUAGAACGUCGUGAGACAGUUCGGUCCCUAUCUGCCGUGGGCGCUGGAGAAUUGAGGGGGGCUGCUCCUAGUACGAGAGGACCGGAGUGGACGCAUCACUGGUGUUCGGGUUGUCAUGCCAAUGGCACUGCCCGGUAGCUAAAUGCGGAAGAGAUAAGUGCUGAAAGCAUCUAAGCACGAAACUUGCCCCGAGAUGAGUUCUCCCUGAGACUUUAAGUCUCCUGAAGGAACGUUGAAGACGACGACGUUGAUAGGCCGGGUGUGUAAGCGCAGCGAUGCGUUGAGCUAACCGGUACUAAUGAACCGUGAGGCUUAACCUUACAACGCCGAAG
Molecule: ribosomal RNA, 2921 nt
Filed under: Klebsiella pneumoniae
Lineage: Bacteria; Pseudomonadati; Pseudomonadota; Gammaproteobacteria; Enterobacterales; Enterobacteriaceae
Description: bacterial LSU rRNA
Rfam family: Bacterial large subunit ribosomal RNA
Source: RNAcentral